AUCGGCGAGCUUCGGUAGCGCGGCGGUCUCCAAAACCGUUCGCAGGGGGUUCGACACCCUCCGCCGGUG
RNAcentral lists this transfer RNA (69 nucleotides) under Amycolatopsis sp. DG1A-15b. RNAcentral's name for it is "tRNA-Trp". Lineage: Bacteria; Bacillati; Actinomycetota; Actinomycetes; Pseudonocardiales; Pseudonocardiaceae. RNAcentral also lists the same sequence under 1 other name. The record is from RNAcentral.